This 253-nucleotide ribosomal RNA is filed under the name uncultured bacterium. RNAcentral's name for it is "partial 16S ribosomal RNA". It matches the Rfam family "Bacterial small subunit ribosomal RNA", at positions 524 to 776 of the family's 1533-position model. The record is from RNAcentral.
UACGUAGGGGGCUAGCGUUGUCCGGAAUUAUUGGGCGUAAAGAGCGCGUAGGCGGUCCGAUAAGUCGGCUGUGAAAGUCAGGGGCUCAACCCUUGAAAGCCGGCCGAUACUGUCGGACUAGAGUCCGGAAGAGGCGAGUGGAAUUCCCGGUGUAGCGGUGAAAUGCGCAGAUAUCGGGAGGAACACCAAUGGCGAAGGCAGCUCGCUGGGACGGUACUGACGCUAAGGCGCGAAAGCGUGGGGAGCGAACAGG